Molecule: ribosomal RNA, 123 nt
Filed under: Echinops telfairi (small Madagascar hedgehog)
Lineage: Eukaryota; Metazoa; Chordata; Mammalia; Afrosoricida; Tenrecidae
Source: RNAcentral
GUUUACGGGCAUACCAUCCUGAACGCGCCCGAUCUCGUCUAAUCUCGGAAGCUAAGAAGGGCCGGGCCUGCUUAGUACUUGGAUGGGAGAAAGGGGAUGUGCGCACGCAGGUGCCUGGAGAAA